UUAAGAUAAAUCAAACUUUUUCUUUCAUUGAAGAUUCAAUUUUUUGUUAUUUAUCUAUGAUACAUAUAACUUUAAUUAGGUUAGAUUUGAUCUCAAAAAAAGUGUGAUAGAUAAGGUUUAAUGGAAGAGUUUAAUACUAGUCACAAUGCUAAAUUUGUUUCUAUAUUUUUUACAAAUAUUUAUUUUUUUACUUGUAUGUUUUUACAAUUACGUUUUUUCGGGUUCAAUUGUAUUCAUUUGUGAGUAAGGUUUGAAAUACUAAGAGCUUAUUAGAAUUGUUAAAAACAAAAAUACAAAACUAACCUGUACACUUUCUAAAGGUGGAUCUUCCUUCAACAUUAUUAGAAUUGUUUGUAUUAGAUUAUUACGUAUUUGAAAGUUUUAACAAAAUUCUCAUUUCUUUAUUAUCUAAAAAAAAACUAAUUUAAAAAAAUUGUGUACAGAUUGAGUGUAGUUUAUAGCAUUCUUAAAUGUUAAUGUAUAACUUUGGUCUUUUUUAAUUUUACUUUAACUGAGCAUUUACAUAUUUUAUUAUAUGAUUCACAGAUGUCAACGAUUUUAAGUUUGUUAGAAUAAUUCUGGUUUUUAACUCCAGGUUAUACCAUUGUAAUAAUAUUCUAUGAUUCACAGAUGUCAACCAUUUCAAUUUUGUUAGAAUAAUUCUGGUUUUUAACUCCAGGUUAUACCAUUGUAAUAAUAUUCUAUGAUUCACAAAGAUGUCAACCAUUUCAAUUUUGUUAGAAUAAUUCUGGUUUUUAACUCCAGGUUAUACCAUUGUAAUAAUAUUCUAUGAUUCACAGAUGUUAACCAUUUCAAUUUUGUUAGAAUAAUUCUGGUUUUUAACUCCAGGUUAUACCAUUGUAAUAAUAUUCUAUGAUUCACAGAUGUCAACCAUUUUAAGUUUGUUAGAAUAAUUCUGGUUUUUAACUCCAGGUUAUACCAUUGCGAUAAUAGCCUUUAAAUUCUGAUGUUUAUAUAUCUUGGGGGUUUGGUAUAACAUUCUGGGGUGAAAUGAAAGAACACUGUUUAGGUCUUGGUCAUUUAAACGUUUUCACUUAAACCAGAAUAAAAUAUUAGCCAAUCAGAAAUGAUAUUGAUAUUUAACCCAUUCUUUAAAUUUGACAGCCAUGUCAGAAACAUGUCGAAACAAACCAUCUAGCCAAGAAUGAGGAAAUAUAUUGGAAUGUCAUCCUCACAACAAAGAAAUAGACAAAAAAAAAGUCUACUUUUUAGACAAUGCCAAUACAAAUCUUGUUAAGUACUGCCACAUGGCUGUGUGAUAAAUCAGGCCAAAAUCAGUAAGAAAAUUAAUGUAAAAACUAAAUAAUUCCUAUUUUUCUGCUCAGAUUUUGAUUUUAUUUUAGGCUUGUAUUCCUAUUUUAUAUCAUAAUGGUCGGUAUCUGUGCUUUGGUUAAAAUUUAUUUCAAGACAGUAAAUCAAGAAAAUCCAUAAACUGUUGACCUUGCAUUAGAAAAUGAAAGAGGAAUAUUUGAGAAAUGAGAUUUUUAAAAAGCGUUUAACUUUAUAAAAUUACAGCACAGUUAGUCAUAAGUUGUGUAGGUUUAGAUACUUCAUUGUAAUCUUUAUCUUAAAGAUAUGAGUAUAAAAAGUUACAGAUGUGUUAUUAGGCUCUCUCUGUAAUGUAAAUGGUCUGUAGAGAUUCAUAUAAAUAUGUAUGAAUAUAUUUAUAUAUUAUACAUAUAUGAAUAAUUGUGAAUGUAACCUUUAUGUGAUAUACCAGUACUUCUUGACUGCAAUGUGAUGUAACUAACAUGUUAAAAUGUGUGAAUAUAAUAAAGUUAUACUAACACA
RNAcentral lists this long non-coding RNA (1812 nucleotides) under Limulus polyphemus (Atlantic horseshoe crab). RNAcentral describes it as "uncharacterized LOC111083558". The record is from RNAcentral. Lineage: Eukaryota; Metazoa; Arthropoda; Merostomata; Xiphosura; Limulidae.